ACACAGGUGACACAGGGGUGACAAUGAGCUAACACAGGUGACACAGGUGACACAGGUGACACACAGGUGACACAGGUGACACACAGGUGACACACAGGUGACAUUACCCUGGAGCAGGGUGUCACCACCAGUGACUCCAUGCCGGUGCGGGGGGCUCACAGGGGGUGACACAGAGGUGACAAUGAGGUAACACAGGUGACACAGGUGUGACAAUGAGGUAACACACAGGUGACACAGGUGACACAGGUGUGACAUUACCCUGGAGCAGGGUGUCACCACCAGUGACUCCAUGCCGGUGCGGGGGGCUCACAGGUGACAAUGAGGUAACACAGGUGACACAGGGGUGACAAUGAGGUAACACAGGUGACACACAGGUGACACACAGGUGACACAGGUGUGACAUUACCCUGGAGCAGGGUGUCACCACCAGUGACUCCAUGCCGAUGCGGGGGGAUCACAGAUGACAAUGAGCUAACACAGGUGACACAGGUGACACACAGGUGACACACAGGUGACACAGGUGACA
Molecule: long non-coding RNA, 526 nt
Organism: Poecile atricapillus (Black-capped chickadee)
Lineage: Eukaryota; Metazoa; Chordata; Aves; Passeriformes; Paridae
Exons: 3
Source: RefSeq, a predicted model, not a curated record